GGCACCAAUCUUCGUAUUCUCUUUAAGAACACACGUGAAACUGCCCAGGCCAUCAAGGGUAUGCAUAUACGAAAAGCCACGAAGUAUCUGAAAGAUGUCACUUUACAGAAACAGUGCAUACCAUUCCGAUGUUACAAUGGUGGAGUUGGCAGGUGUGCCCAGGCCAAGCAGUGGGGCUGGACACAAGGUCGGUGGCCCAAAAACAGUGCUGAAUUUUUGCUGCACAUGCUUAAAAAUGCAGAGAGUAAUGCUGAACUUAAGGGUUUAGAUGUAGAUUCUCUGGUCAUUGAGCAUAUCCAAGUGAACAAAGCACCCAAGAUGCGCCGCCGGACCUACAGAGCUCACGGUCGAAUUAACCCGUACAUGAGUUCUCCCUGCCACAUUGAGAUGAUCCUUACUGAAAAGGAACAGAUUGUUCCUAAACCAGAAGAGGAGGUUGCCCAGAAGAAGAAGAUAUCCCAGAAGAAACUGAAGAAACAAAAACUUAUGGCAUGGGAGUAAAUUCAGCCUUAAAAUAAAUGCAACUAAAAGG
Sapajus apella (tufted capuchin) is the source of this 532-nucleotide RNA transcript. It is a transcript of the gene named 60S ribosomal protein L17 pseudogene, with no coding region annotated. The record is from RefSeq and is a predicted model, not a curated record. Lineage: Eukaryota; Metazoa; Chordata; Mammalia; Primates; Cebidae. The transcript has a single exon.